This 468-nucleotide ribosomal RNA is filed under the name uncultured bacterium. RNAcentral's name for it is "partial 16S ribosomal RNA". It matches the Rfam family "Bacterial small subunit ribosomal RNA", at positions 28 to 507 of the family's 1533-position model. The record is from RNAcentral.
GACGAACGCUGGCGGCGUGCUUAACACAUGCAAGUCGAACGGAAAGGCCCUGCUUUUGUGGGGUGCUCGAGUGGCGAACGGGUGAGUAACACGUGAGUAUCCUGCCCUUGACUUUGGGAUAACUUCAGGAAACUGGGGCUAAUACCGGAUAUGAUCUCCUGCUGCAUGGUGUGGGUUGGAAAGUUUCGGCGGUUGGGGAUGGACUCGCGGCUUAUCAGCUUGUUGGUGGGGUAGUGGCUUACCAAGGCUUUGACGGGUAGCCGGCCUGAGAGGGUGACCGGCCACAUUGGGACUGAGAUACGGACCAGAAUCCAACGGGAGGCAGCAGUGGAGAAUAUUGCACAAUGGGCGGAAGCCUGAUGCAGCAACGCCGCGUGCGGGAUGACGGCCUUCGGGUUGUAAACAGCUUUCGAAUGUGACGAAGCGUGAGUGACGGUAAUGGGUAAAGAAGCACCGGCUAACUACGUG